GACGAACGCUGGCGGCGUGCUUAACACAUGCAAGUCGAACGAAGUGGCGAAAGGGUGAGUAAUACGUGGGUAAACUGACCUCCUUUUUGGGAUCAGCCUUGGAAACGGGGUCUAAUACCGAAUAAAGGGGGGUGGGCUCGCGGCCUCUCAGCUUGGUGGUGGGUUGAUGGCCUAGCAAGGCGUUGACGUGUCGCCGGCCUGGGAGGGUGACCGGCCCCAUGUGGCACUCGGUCCCGCCCAGACGCCUACGGGAGGCAGCAGUGGGGGAUAUUGCACAAUGGGCGAAAGCCUGAUGCAGCUACGCCGCGUGGGUGAUGAAGGCGUUCGGUUUGUAAACCUCUUUCGCUAGCGAACGGGUAGGUGGAGAAGAAGCGCCGGCUAACUACGUGCCAGCCGCCGCGGUAAUUC
This 408-nucleotide ribosomal RNA is filed under the name uncultured bacterium. RNAcentral's name for it is "partial 16S ribosomal RNA". It matches the Rfam family "Bacterial small subunit ribosomal RNA", at positions 28 to 526 of the family's 1533-position model. The record is from RNAcentral.